UUUAAGCAUAUCACUCAGUGGAGGAAAUGCAAGCAACCGCGAUUGCUGGAGUAACGGCGAGUGAACGGGCAGGAACAACACAUCAUGGCUCUCCCCGAAUGGGAAUUCCCACUACGCCCCGCGCGCCCCCAGAGCGGGGGCCGCGGCGGUGGUCGGCUACCAUGGAUUUCAACAGAUGCUGUGGGCUGUGGAGGGGGCGGCCGCGCCAUCGGCGGCCGGGGCACCGGGAAGAGCCCUGGAAUGGGCCACGACAGAGGGACACGGUCCCCUACAGUCGGGUGUGUGCCCCGGUCCGUCGCGGCGCUGGCCGCCCCCGUCCAGGAGUAGAGUGGCUUGGGACUGCAGUUUGAAGUGUGAUGUGUAUCCAUCACAAGGAAGCAUACAGACCUGGAACCGAUAGCGCACAAGUAGAGUGAUCGAAGGAUGCAAAGGACUCCGCGAGGAGGGUUAAAAGUCCCUGAAGCCUCGGCAGGCAGAGCGGUCAGCGGUGCUGUGGAUUCUCCAACCAGGCGGCCUUGGGCCAGCCCUGGGCCGGUCACUGAGCCCUUGCCUAACGGCGGGGACGUAGUCGUGACGGCCCCUCGUAAGGGUGGCACCCUGCUUGCCAGGGCCUGAGGUUUGCAGUGAUUUCCCGAAGGGCAGAGCGGAGGCCCCGGUGCGGGAGGCGUGUCGUGCGCGCGAGGCCAGCGAGCGGGUGUGUGUCGCGGGGGGCAACCCCCAAGGCGUGGUGACCACAGCGGCGCCGUCGGCGUGCCCUCGGGCGCGACGAUAUGCUGCCUCGGUGUGCACGCCCUUCACCCCCGGCCGCCCCUCCGUGCGCGCGCCCUCUCCACCGCCCUCCGCGCAGUUCGGUACAAAGUUGUGCGCCCCUUCCAAACCCCGUGCGUCUCCGGACGUGCGGGUCGCCGUGGCUCCCCGCCUCUGGUUCGAGGCCCGGCGGCGUCGCGGGGACUGCACCCUCCUCCGAGGGUGGUCCCCGCUCGUCCGCUGGCCUCCCAGACGGAGCCCGGUGCCGACGGCAGCAGAGCCUGGCCUCACGCCAGUGCCGCUGUCUGCCCGUCUCGAAACACGGACCAAGGAGUCUAUGGAGCGUGCGAGUUGCACAGUGACCUGGAUCUGAAACUGCAGUGUGUGGUGAAGGCAACAGCGUUCCCGACGGGACGCCCGCGCCGACCCUCCUCUCGGGGGGGGGAAGGGGCGGGCUCGGUCUGCAUGGAAUUACCGGAUCCGAAGUCCAGUGGACAGGGUUUUGAGUGCUUGCGCGGUCCAAGGGACCCGAAAGGUGGUGAACUAUACCGUUCUACGACGAAGCCAUGGGAAACUGUGGUGGAAGUCGGUCGCUGUUCUGACGUGCAAAUCGUGUAGCCUGAGCGCGGCAUAGGGGUGAAAGGCCAAUCGAGCCACCUAGUAGCUGGUUCCCUUCGAAGUUUCCCUCAGGAUAGCUGGGCUCAGAUGCAAGCCAAUCCUGCAGUGGUUACGUSCGGUAAAGCAACGCAUGAGAGGCCAAACCGUGGGAAGACCCUUCUUCUCAACCUAUUCUCGAACUGUGAAUGGGCGUGAACAACACCGAGUCAAGGCAUGCUUCUUCACCACGCCAGGAGGCCGUCCCACGACGGUUCUUCCAGGCUUCUGAGCGUGUUUGUCCGGCAGAGAGAGUUCCUUUGGGGGCCCGCAGUACCCCCACCCCCCCCGCCCUCGCGGUGGGGGCAGACCCUCGUGUGGGCGAAGCGAAGUGGAGUGUGAGGCGCGAAAGGGGAGCGCGCAUGCGUGGGCGCCUUGUCCCCACCCCCAUUGGCUGUGCCGCUCCGUGCGGCCMCCGGUGGCGGUGUGCGGGGCGGCGAUAGGGCCCGCGUGUGCGAGGUCGCGGUACGGGGUUCCACCCUCCCAGGGGGUGGCGCGCCCCGUGCUGUGCCGCCGUCCCCCUCGGUCGCCGAAACUCCGCGCCCGCGCUGUGGGUGCCUGGGGUCGCUGUUGGUCCCCCCAGAGGGCCGGCCGCCCCUCCUCUCCCCCCCUCCCCUCGCGCGCUCCAGGGCGUGCGUGGUGGAGGGUGCGUGUGGCCCCCGGGCCGAGCGAGUGAGACAGAGUUCCGAGCUGGCGCGGCCGCCAUCCUGCCAAUUGUUGAACAAAAGUGCCUAUGUGGACCAUGACUGGUAAGCAGUGCUGGUGAUGCGGGAUGCUCCGAGAGUGGACUUACAGAUCCCGAGUGUUGGCUCAUACUCAGAUCCCACAAAGGAUGUCGCUUGCUCUGGAUAGCAGGACGGUGGCCAUGAAGGUUGGAAYCCGCUGAGGAAUGUGUAACAACUCACCUGCCGAAGCGUGCAGCUCCGAAAAUGGAUGGUGCCCAAGUCAAUGAAGCUCCCUCACAGUCCACCGUCGCUGUGGCAGCCUCAGCAGAGCAUCGUCGUGUAGAAAGGGCAUGGGAGAUUGCAGAGCCUGCCGGGGUCACCCCUGGCUCGAGUGUCUUCCGGAGCAGAUCUUGGUUGCAGUAGCGAGUACUCCAUCGGGUGAAGAGCAGUGUACCAAACAACCCUGCUGUGUGCGGUUGAGGACUGGAGUGGAGCAGGUUUCCACACCCAACAGCCGUUGAAUGUGGGUCAACCGACCGUGAGCCAAGUGGUAAGUUCACUGAACAACCAAAGCUGCUGCGACGAAGGGGGCUCGAGGAGGGCGAGCGAGAGAGGGGUGGAAGGGGACACACCGGGUCGAUUCGGCCCACCAUUGGCACAAGAACAACAGCCGGAGCGCGGCGGAAAAGGUGGUACCGUGUGCGAUUGCCCAGUAAGCGCGCGGGCCCUGGACCCUCCGAGCGGGGAGAGGCGAGGAGUGUGCGAGGGGAGGGGUGCCGACACGUUCGGACCCCCCCCUGGCGCGCCUCCCCUCACAUCCCCCGCCGAGGACAGGCGCCCUCCCCGCGUGGACCGGCCGUGCGCGUGCCGCCCGCCUCCGCUGCGUGUGCCAGAGGGGCGUGUUCCCGCCCUCCCCCUUGUCCCCUCGCGCCUCGUCCCCUCCGUUGGGCUUCAGGAUUGGCAAACAGGCAAGCACGUGCAACAUUCUGCUGUGAUGGGCUCGGAGUGCCGUGCGGUGGCGACACCCCGCGGCUGACCAAGCGGGCCUUGGGGUGGUGGAGCCCCUGAGGAGUUCUCGUUUCCUCCUGAUGCAGACCCAUGUGGGCUAUCGAUUGGCAUGACAGAUGGUGGUGUAAGUCCUCCGCUCAGCAAGGCAGUGCGGUCUCCGCGCUGAUGGUGUUCCCAAGGCGAAGCGAGAGAGGCGACCCUCGAGAGAGCGAGGGGAAACAAAAAACCGCAGGUGUGGGUGCGCCCCCGUYGGCGUGCCCCUCCGACCCUCAUUAUCCGGCCGUGGUGGCCACCAGGYUCCAAUGAACGGCCCGCGGGACCCUGUGCUCCAGGACCCUGGUCCUCGUACUGUAUCACCGCAGCCGGUCUCCUCGACUAGACGUCGCUUGUCCACGGAUGAAAUGCAGCUAAGGGAAGUCGGCAAACUGGCUGCGCACCUUCGGAAGAUGCAGUGGCUCCAGAGGCCAGGCCGCAGGGCCCGGUCGGGAGCGGUGGGUGUGCGUCGGGUCGGACCCCCUGACCCGGUGGUGUGGUCGGGACGUCGGCGUCUUCGGGCGCCGUCGGACCGGCCCCCCCGGGACGGGGCAAGUUCGCCCGCCGCCCCCGCCGUCCCUCCGCGGCCGGGGGACACCGGCCCUCCCUCGUGGGGGGUCGGGGCCCGUCCCUGCGGCCACCCAGUGGCUCACGUGGAACUGUUGCCGUGCAGGGGAAUCUGACUGUUUAAUUGAAACACAGCUUUGUGACGGGACCAGCUGGCUGGUGCCAUGAGGUGACUUCUGCCCAGUGCUCUGAUUGUCAAUGCGAAGAGAUUCAGCCAAGCGCGGGUAAACGGCGGGAGUAACUAUGACUCUCUUAAGGUAGCCAAAUGCCUCGUCAACCAAUUAUUGACGCGCAUGAAUGGAUCAACGAGAUUCCUGCUGUCCCUAGCCGCUGUCUGGUGAACCAACAACCAAGGGAACGGGCUUGGAUGUGUCAGCGGGGAAAGAAGAGCCUGUUGAGA
This 4074-nucleotide ribosomal RNA is filed under the name Euglena deses. RNAcentral's name for it is "partial large subunit ribosomal RNA". It matches the Rfam family "Eukaryotic large subunit ribosomal RNA", at positions 33 to 2422 of the family's 3401-position model. The record is from RNAcentral. Lineage: Eukaryota; Euglenozoa; Euglenophyceae; Euglenales; Euglenaceae.